ACUUCCUGGGUGGGGGCCGAGCUCUGUGUGACUUCCUGGUGGCUUUGAGCAAGUCCCUUUACCUCUCUGAACCUCAGUUUCUCCACCUGUAAAAUGGGGGUCUGGGCUGCCCCCAGUCAGGGACUUUCCUUCUUCUCCUGUAAGCUUUGGGAGGUGUCGGGGAAAAGCGGUGUAGAGGCUAGUGAGGCAGCAGCUGUGGAGGGACCCCUCUUCUCACGGCCUCAGGUUCCCUCUGCUGACGUGGCGGCCCGCGGGGGCCAAGGAAACAGAAAACGUUCCCCAAAAUGGCCUUUUAAGAACAAAGUUGAACAUCUGGUGUUUCCGAGAAAUCAUCAGCAAAGGGCUCCAAGAGGCCUCUGCUGCCCCAGGUUCUGGUCACGUGAAAAGCCUCAUCUCGCCCAUCAGUCUCACUUCGCACCAGUGCUCCCAAUCAGUGCUCCCUGGGGAGUCAGAGAGGAUGGCUGGACAGCCCUGGGUCCUCCAGUUCCCCAUGGGCUUGUGCCCCGGGCGUAGGGCCUCCAUCUCCCUGAAAUUAACUGAGGCCGCAUCAGCCAGAGCACCUUGCACAGCGCCUGACACACAGCGGGUGGUCCCCACAGCAUCCCCUUCCUUCGCUCAGCACCCUCUUCCUAAUCAGCUGCCGUGGCCUCACCCACUCAUCGAGAGCAGCUGGACUCCUGCCAUGAGCUGGGCCUAUGCCAGACUCUCGGCCCAGGCUGCAGCGAAGCGAGAGCCAUUUGUCCCAUGGUGAACACUUGCCCUCCGAGCUGGACUCUGGGGACACAGUAGGGACAGAGCAGCACUGGACUCAGCUCCCGUGAGGUCCACGGCGUCCCGAGGAAGCAGACUCAAAGCCAGAGUUUCUAAAGUCUGAGCUGCUGUGGCAGGGGGCCCCCAGAGGGCUGGGGGGCGGAGCACCGGAGGUCAGGUGGCAACAUGCUUCUAGGCGACCCCCCAUCCGCCACCCGGGUCCUCAGCCUGGGGCCCGGGGGUCGCUCAUGUGC
Bos taurus (domestic cattle) is the source of this 1004-nucleotide long non-coding RNA. NCBI's taxonomy places the organism in Eukaryota, Metazoa, Chordata, Mammalia, Artiodactyla, Bovidae. The record is from Ensembl.